RNAcentral lists this ribosomal RNA (473 nucleotides) under uncultured Magnetococcus sp. RNAcentral describes it as "bacterial SSU rRNA". It matches the Rfam family "Bacterial small subunit ribosomal RNA", at positions 79 to 587 of the family's 1533-position model. Lineage: Bacteria; Pseudomonadati; Pseudomonadota; Magnetococcia; Magnetococcales; Magnetococcaceae. The record is from RNAcentral.
UUCGGGAUGCCGGCGAGUGGCGAACGGGUGAGUAACGCGUGGAUACCUGCCCUAUGGUGGGGAAUAACGUCUAGAAAUGGACGCUAAUACCGCAUAAGCCCUAUGGGGGAAAGAUUUAUUGCCAUGGGAGGGGUCCGCGUCGGAUUAGCUUGUUGGUGGGGUAACGGCCUACCAAGGCGACGAUCCGUAGCUGGUCUGAGAGGAUGAUCAGCCACACUGGGACUGAGACACGGCCCAGACUCCUACGGGAGGCAGCAGUGGGGAAUAUUGCGCAAUGGGGGAAACCCUGACGCAGCGACGCCGCGUGGGUGAAGAAGGCCUUAGGGUUGUAAAGCCCUUUCAGUGGGAAAGAUGAUGACGGUACCCACAGAAGAAGCUCCGGCUAACUCCGUGCCAGCAGCCGCGGUAAUACGGAGGGGGCUAGCGUUGUUCGGAAUUACUGGGCGUAAAGGGCGCGUAGGCGGUUGAUCAAG